Molecule: long non-coding RNA, 678 nt
Organism: Humulus lupulus (European hop)
Lineage: Eukaryota; Viridiplantae; Streptophyta; Magnoliopsida; Rosales; Cannabaceae
Exons: 2
Source: RefSeq, a predicted model, not a curated record
ACAAUACCAGUAAAAAUUAAAAAACUAAAACCACAAACUUUAACUGAUUGAUUCGAUGACUUCCUUUUACUAGUGUUUCGUCUUCUUCUCCUUCUUCUUUCUUUCUUUCUUUCAUUCUUUGCAAACCCAAAAAAGUUAAGUGACAGAGAUGGGUGGAGCUAGGAUUUAACACCGGCAAGGCAGGGCGGAGGAGCAAAGGGGGCGAGUGUAGCAGAGAUCUAUUGUGGAAAGGCAACUUCUUUCUUCUUCGUGCUCAAGUCGUACUGGAAAAGAAAACAGAAACGCAGUUGAUUAAAAAAAAAGCUGGGCUAGAGAGUGAGAGAGGCCAGCAUGAAACAGAGAAGAAAAAUAGAGGGAAAGAGGAGAGAAAAAGUGGGUAUUGGUACUUUGACUUGAAGAUUCAGUGGUUGUUCUCAUUAAUUUUAGCUCAAAUUUUGGGUGGUGAAGCCUGCAACAUCUCUAAGGUACUCUCCUACUAUAAUCAUUUGGUGAGACCCAAACUUUUUCUAUGUAUAUCCAUUUUUAUAGAUGAUGACUAUGUGUAUUGUUGAUCCAAUAUUGUAUCUUGAUGUUGUUGUGAGCCUCUAGUUAUACUAGAAAAGAACAUUGUAAUCUCAUUAUUGAACUUUGGUGAUAAUGGAUGAUUUAAGCGGAUUACGGUCCCCGUAGUUUUUCCCA